CUGACAUGGGGCUCGAUCCCAAGACCCUGGGAUCAUGACCUGAGUCAAAAUCAAGAAUUGGACGGUCUACCGACUGAGCCAUCCUGGCAUCCUUAAGAGAUGUCUGUCAUUGUGAAAUUGGAAGCUCUAAUCUCUGCUUUCUGUGUCUGUAUUACACCGUGCCCUCUUUCCCCCGACAUGUGCCUAGAGACCCAAGUAUCAGAAAUCUUCCUAGAUGAUGCCAGCCUAUACUGAGAAAGGAUUCCUGUUGGAGCCAUUCCAAAUCCCAUUUCUCAGAGGACAAAAUAGAGACUCUGCUACUCUCUGAACACCCCUCUUACUGAGAACUGGCAACACCUAAUGUGGACAGAAGAAAGCUUACAUCCUUUGGAGGCAGCACUGGAGUCUAGAAUUCGGAGAUCACAAACGUGGAUAAUGGAUAUCGGGAGCCAGUAGGUCAUCUUAUAUUGCUGAAAAAAGGGUAAGUUGCCUCACCCCACUCCAAUUUGGCAAUAUCUCUAAAAGUCUACAAUGUAUCUAUCCUUUGAUCAAGGGAUUCCAUUCCUAAACGUGUACCCCAUGGAGAGCACAUGUACAAAUAUAAGCUUGCAGAAAAGUAUGUAUCACAACAUUGUUUCUAAACACAGUAAAUGAUGGAAAAGAAACAGAAAUUUACUACUUUGAAGCACUGGUAAAAAUAUAGCCCAUCCAUGGAAUAAUAUGCUGCCAUUAAAAUAAGACACUUUUACAUUUACUGAAAUGGAAAGAUCUCCAGCAUGUAUUAAGUGGGAGAAACGGGAAGGAAGUGCAGAAAAAUUUGCAUCCAAAUCCACCUGUGUGGGAAAGAAAAUGGACCGACUCUGAAAUCUAUUCACUGGCUGACUGUCUCUGGGGAGGAGAAUUGAGUGGAUAGGAGACAAGGGAGGGAUUCUUGUUUUUUGCCUUUUUAUACCUUUGUACUUUUGUAUUAUGUGUAUUACCUAAUUAUAAGCAACCAAUCUAACAAACAUGAAUGAACAGCCCAGAGAAACUUAGGAAGUGAUGUGAGCAACUGAAAAGAUCCCAGGAUUUAUCAUCAAAUGGGGUCUGAGUUGAAAUCCUAGCUCUCACCCACUAUGGGCCCUUUGUUCUCUGAGUUCUGUAAAAUAUAAAUCUGUAAAAUCAAGAUCAUAAUGCCCAACAAGCAGCACUGUUGGAAGAAUGAGACAUAACAUCAAUGAAGUGCCUGGCUCAGUGAAGAGUAGCCGUCAUUAUUGAAUUCACAUUGGGGGAAAUUAAUAACCACAGAGAAGGCUCAAUCUAUUCCAAGUUACACAGGAAGUUUAACAGCAAAUUCUUUCCCAAGGGGCUGCUUCAGGCUUUGGCCUAUUCUCCAGAGCCUGCUGAAUAUGAGAGGAACUGUUUUUAGGGCGGGCCAGACCUGGGUCUGUUUGGCGGUGCUCCAAAGUUUCAGGUGCAAUAGGUUAGCGGCAACGGGUCGUCUUGUUUUCCUCAUUAUCAUUGUGAAGAAAUUAGCCCGCAGUUGUUCAAGCGGGGGCGGGGGGGGGGGGGGGAAGCAUUCUGGGUGGUCUGGGGCCCCCUGAGAAGGCCUGUCAGAUGAAGGCCGGGAUGCCCAAUUACAUUUGAAUUUCAGGUAAAUAACAAAUAACCUCGCAAUACAGAUAUACCCCAAAUAGUACAGUACAGCUUACGAUGCGGUGUACCUGGGCUACAAAACCGUUUGUUGAUUAUCUGAAAUUCAGAUGUUACUAUGA
Leopardus geoffroyi (Geoffroy's cat) is the source of this 1733-nucleotide long non-coding RNA. RefSeq lists it as uncharacterized. Lineage: Eukaryota; Metazoa; Chordata; Mammalia; Carnivora; Felidae. The record is from RefSeq and is a predicted model, not a curated record. The transcript is spliced from 4 exons.